This 1428-nucleotide long non-coding RNA is filed under the name Vulpes vulpes (red fox). RNAcentral describes it as "lncRNA (ENSVVUG00000026144.1)". The record is from RNAcentral. Lineage: Eukaryota; Metazoa; Chordata; Mammalia; Carnivora; Canidae.
AAGGGGGCGGUUGGGCGGCUCAGGUCAGGCCAGGGUCCUGGGGUCGAGCCUCGGCUCAGGCCACAAUCCCCGGGGGUCCCGGGGUCCCUGCUCAGCGGGGUCCGCUUCGCCCUCUGCUCCUCCUCCCGAUCGUGCGCGCGCUCGCUCCCUCUCUCAAAUGUUUUUUUAAAAAAUCACAUAAAAGUAGGAGAGGGUUUAAACUUGGUUUUGAGUGGAAGACAAGAGCAUGUCCAACAACCGCACACAGGGGUAUGGCCGGCUGUUACUUAUCCAUCCACAGGCCCCUCGCCGGGCCGCGUGACCCCCGCCGCCCGNNNNNNNNNNNNNNNNNNNNNNNNNNNNNNNNNNNNNNNNNNNNNNNNNNNNNNNNNNNNNNNNNNNNNGCUAGGGAGGGCCUGCGGGCGACUCCGGGACCCGCGCCCCGAGCCUCUCCCCGCGGGCGUGACGGCCGGGCGCGGGGCCUGUGACCCCCGCAGGAACCCUCGGGCCUCGGGCGAAGAACGGAGCCGGGAAGGGGCACAGGAGCCCGGGUUUAAACCUCAAAGACCAGAAUUCACUUACCAGAGCGCGACCUUCGCUUCCGGAAAUCUCCUUCCGGGGCAACCGGGAAGACGCGAAUCGCCUUGCAAGCCCAGGGCCCGCGCCCUGGACGGGUGGAAUGCGGCCCCUGAGAGCCUCCAGUCUGGGGAAAGCCUGGACCCUGUGGUGUGGCCUGUCUGAAGGGCGAGUGACGAUUGCCAGUUGAAAGUUGCCACCGCAGAAUGAUUUUCAGUGGACUUCCAGCUGGAUGUUGUACACAUAGACGAGGACUAUUAAUGUGGAAGUGUUUCAGGACUCCCCCCAAAUCUGCCCAAGUCAUAUUACUGUGUUAGAAAAACUUAUGUAUUUCCCCCUAGAAUGUCCUGCUAAAGCUAUGCGGACUGCCUUUUCUUUCUUUUUUCUUUUUCCAAAGAUUUUAUUUAUUUAUUCAUGGAGACACAGAGAGAGAGGCAGAGACAUAGGCAGAGGGAGGAAGAGGCUCCCCUUGAGCAGCCUGAUGUGGGACUUGAUCCUGGGAUCUCAGGAUCACGACCUGAGCCAAAGGCAGGUACUCAAGCACUGAGCCCCCUGGGAGUCCCUGGGCUGCCUUUUCUGCACAGGACUGUGUGGCUGCUAAGGUGUUCUUCACUAGGACAACUGGGAGACUUGAUUCCCUGUAAGCCUGGGGCCCUACAAGAAGCCACUCAGUGGAAGUGAGGAUUGAGGGACGCCUGGGUGGCUCAGCGGUUGAGUGUCUGCCUUUGGGUCAGGGGGUGAUCCUGGGAUCCCCGGAUGGAGUCCUGUGUUGGGCUCCCCACAGGGAGCCUACUUCUGCCUCUGCCUGUGUCUCUGCCUCUCUCUGUGUCUCUCAUGAAUAAAUAAAUAAAAGUCAUUAAAAAAAUGAAAUGA